This 253-nucleotide ribosomal RNA is filed under the name uncultured bacterium. Its description in RNAcentral is "partial 16S ribosomal RNA". It matches the Rfam family "Bacterial small subunit ribosomal RNA", at positions 524 to 776 of the family's 1533-position model. The record is from RNAcentral.
UACAGAGGGUGCGAGCGUUGUUCGGAAUUAUUGGGCGUAAAGGGCGCGUAGGCGGUGCGGCAAGUCACCUGUGAAACCUCUGGGCUUAACCCAGAGCCUGCAGGCGAAACUGCCGUGCUGGAGUGUGGCAGAGGGGGGUGGAAUUCCACGUGUAGCAGUGAAAUGCGUAGAGAUGUGGAGGAACACCGAUGGCGAAGGCAGCCCCCUGGGCUAACACUGACGCUCAUGCACGAAAGCGUGGGGAGCAAACAGG